AGACCCGAAACCCGGUGAUCUAGCCAUGGGCAGGUUGAAGGUUGGGUAACACUAACUGGAGGACCGAACCGACUAAUGUUGAAAAAUUAGCGGAUGACCUGUGGCUGGGGGUGAAAGGCCAAUCAAACCGGGAGAUAGCUGGUUCUCCCCGAAAGCUAUUUAGGUAGCGCCUCGUGAAUUCAUCUCCGGGGGUAGAGCACUGUUUCGGCUAGGGGGCCAUCCCGGCUUACCAACCCGAUGCAAACUGCGAAUACCGGAGAAUGUUAUCACGGGAGACACACGGCGGGUGCUAACGUCCGUCGUGAAGAGGGAAACAACCCAGACCGCCAGCUAAGGUCCCAAAGUCAUGGUUAAGUGGGAAACGAUGUGGGAAGGCCCAGACAGCCAGGAUGUUGGCUUAGAAGCAGCCAUCAUUUAAAGAAAGCGUAAUAGCUCACUGGUCGAGUCGGCCUGCGCGGAAGAUGUAACGGGGCUAAACCAUGCACCGAAGCUGCGGCAGCGAACGUAUCACCCAAGACAACUUUACGGAGUUGACGAUUGACGGAGCGAAGCGACGUCAAAGCGUUCAUUAAAGUCGAGUUGGCUUAGGGAUACGUUCGUUGGGUAGGGGAGCGUUCUGUAAGCCUGUGAAGGUGUGUCGUGAGGCAUGCUGGAGGUAUCAGAAGUGCGAAUGCUGACAUAAGUAACGAUAAAGCGGGUGAAAAGCCCGCUCGCCGGAAGACCAAGGGUUCCUGUCCAACGUUAAUCGGGGCAGGGUGAGUCGACCCCUAAGGCGAGGCCGAAAGGCGUAGUCGAUGGGAAACGGGUUAAUAUUCCCGUACUUGGUGUUACUGCGAAGGGGGGACGGAGAAGGCUAUGUUGGCCGGGCGACGGUUGUCCCGGUUUAAGCGUGUAGGUGUGUGUUCCAGGUAAAUCCGGUUCACUUUAACACUGAGGCGUGAUGACGAGGCACUACGGUGCUGAAGCAACAAAUGCCCUGCUUCCAGGAAAAGCCUCUAAGCAUCAGGUAACAUCAAAUCGUACCCCAAACCGACACAGGUGGUCAGGUAGAGAAUACCAAGGCGCUUGAGAGAACUCGGGUGAAGGAACUAGGCAAAAUGGUGCCGUAACUUCGGGAGAAGGCACGCUGACACGUAGGUGAAGUGAUUUACUCACGGAGCUGAAGUCAGUCGAAGAUACCAGCUGGCUGCAACUGUUUAUUAAAAACACAGCACUGUGCAAACACGAAAGUGGACGUAUACGGUGUGACGCCUGCCCGGUGCCGGAAGGUUAAUUGAUGGGGUCAGCGCAAGCGAAGCUCCUGAUCGAAGCCCCGGUAAACGGCGGCCGUAACUAUAACGGUCCUAAGGUAGCGAAAUUCCUUGUCGGGUAAGUUCCGACCUGCACGAAUGGCGUAAUGAUGGCCAGGCUGUCUCCACCCGAGACUCAGUGAAAUUGAACUCGCUGUGAAGAUGCAGUGUACCCGCGGCAAGACGGAAAGACCCCGUGAACCUUUACUAUAGCUUGACACUGAACAUUGAGCCUUGAUGUGUAGGAUAGGUGGGAGGCUUUGAAGUGUGGACGCCAGUCUGCAUGGAGCCGACCUUGAAAUACCACCCUUUAAUGUUUGAUGUUCUAACGUGGACCCGUAAUCCGGGUUGCGGACAGUGUCUGGUGGGUAGUUUGACUGGGGCGGUCUCCUCCUAAAGAGUAACGGAGGAGCACGAAGGUUGGCUAAUCCUGGUCGGACAUCAGGAGGUUAGUGCAAUGGCAUAAGCCAGCUUGACUGCGAGCGUGACGGCGCGAGCAGGUGCGAAAGCAGGUCAUAGUGAUCCGGUGGUUCUGAAUGGAAGGGCCAUCGCUCAACGGAUAAAAGGUACUCCGGGGAUAACAGGCUGAUACCGCCCAAGAGUUCAUAUCGACGGCGGUGUUUGGCACCUCGAUGUCGGCUCAUCACAUCCUGGGGCUGAAGUAGGUCCCAAGGGUAUGGCUGUUCGCCAUUUAAAGUGGUACGCGAGCUGGGUUUAGAACGUCGUGAGACAGUUCGGUCCCUAUCUGCCGUGGGCGCUGGAGAACUGAGGGGGGCUGCUCCUAGUACGAGAGGACCGGAGUGGACGCAUCACUGGUGUUCGGGUUGUCAUGCCAAUGGCACUGCCCGGUAGCUAAAUGCGGAAGAGAUAAGUGCUGAAAGCAUCUAAGCACGAAACUUGCCCCGAGAUGAGUUCUCCCUGAGACUUAGAGUCUCCUGAAGGAACGUUGAAGACGAC
This 2246-nucleotide ribosomal RNA is filed under the name Salmonella enterica subsp. enterica serovar Typhimurium. Its description in RNAcentral is "partial 23S ribosomal RNA". It matches the Rfam family "Bacterial large subunit ribosomal RNA", at positions 711 to 2848 of the family's 2925-position model. Lineage: Bacteria; Pseudomonadati; Pseudomonadota; Gammaproteobacteria; Enterobacterales; Enterobacteriaceae. The record is from RNAcentral.